RNAcentral lists this ribosomal RNA (1499 nucleotides) under uncultured bacterium. Its description in RNAcentral is "16S ribosomal RNA". It matches the Rfam family "Bacterial small subunit ribosomal RNA". The record is from RNAcentral.
AGAGUUUGAUCCUGGCUCAGAAUGAACGCUGGCGGCGUGCUUAACACAUGCAAGUCGAACGUGAAAGUCCUUCGGGAUGAGUAAAGUGGCAGACUGGUGAGUAACACGUGGGUAUCUGCCUAUCAAUAGGGAAUAUCUUCAAGAAAUUGAAGUUAAUACCAUAUACGUUUUUGAAAAAAAGAAAGAGGGCCUCAAGCUCUCGUUGAUAGAUGAACCUGCGCACUAUUAGUUAGUUGGUGAGGUAAAUGCUUACCAAGACGAUGAUGGUUAUCCGGCCUGAGAGGGUGAUCGGACACAUUGGGCCUGAGAUAUGGCCCUGACUCCUACGGGAAGCAGCAGUGGGGAAUUUUGCGCAAUGGACGAAAGUCUGACGCAGCAACGCCGCGUGAAGGAUGAAGCCCUUUGGGGUGUAAACUUCUUUUGUUAGGGAGGAAAAGUUAGUAGUUAAUACCUGCUAUAAUGACGUUACCUAAAGAAUAAGCACCGGCUAAUCUCGUGCCAGCAGCCGCGGUAAUACGAGAGGUGCAAGCGUUAUUCGGAAUUAUUGGGCGUAAAGGGCGCGUAGGCGGUUUUGUAAGUUUUUUGUUUAAUUCUCUGGCCCAACCAGAGGCAUGCAAAAAAGACUGCAUUGCUAGAGUGUAAUAGAGAGAAGUGGAAUUUUCGGAGUAGCGGUUAAAUGCGUAGAUCUCGAAAGGAACGCCAAUGGCGAAGGCAGCUUCUUGGAUUACUCUGACGCUGAGGCGCGAAGGCGUGGGGAGCAAACAGGAUUAGAUACCCUGGUAGUCCACGCAGUAAACGAUGAUCACUAGACGUAUGUAAUUUAAUUAUAUGUGUCUCAGCUAACGCGAUAAGUGAUCCGCCUGGGGAGUACGAUCGCAAGAUUAAAACUUAAAGAAAUUGACGGGGAUCCGCACAAACGGUGGAACAUGUGGUUUAAUUCGAUACUACGCGAGGAACCUUACCUGGGUUUGACAUGCAUAGGACGUAUACAGAGAUGUAUAUUCCAUGGAGUAAUUCAUGGCCUUUGCACAGGUGUUGCAUGGCUGUCGUCAGCUCGUGUCGUGAGAUGUUAGGUUAAGUCCUUUAACGAGCGCAACUCUUGUCGUCAGUUGCUAUCAUAUUUAUUAUGAGCACUUUAAUGAGACUGCUUAGGAAACUAAGAGGAAGGAGGGAAUGAUGUCAAGUCCGCAUGACCCUUAUGUCCAGGGCCACACACGUGUUACAAUGGAUGCUACAGAGGGAUGCGAACCCGCGAGGGGGAGCUAAUCCUAUAAAGGCAUUCUUAGUUCGGAUUGGAGUCUGAAAUUCGACUCCAUGAAGUUGAAAUCGUUAGUAAUCGCAUAUCAGAAUGAUGCGGUGAAUACGUUCUCGGAUCUUGUACACACCGCCCGUCAAGCCAUGAAAGCUGUCUGCACCAGAAGAUAUUAAGACUAACCGUCAAGGAGGUCGAUGUCUAAGGUGUGGGGGGUGAUUGGGGCUAAGUCGUAACAAGGUAGCCG